CGCCUCUUUCGGUCUCUCCUCGUGUACUCUUUCUGCUCAGCGGUGGGCAGGUUGCCGAAAAGGGAUUGUAUCCCUGGUGUACUUGCUUCUUCAUACCUCUCUGCGCGCGUGUCGACGUGCGUGGGUGGCGUCGUAUUCCCUUCCUUCGUUACACCCCUGUCCAUCUCCAUGGGGCGAGGUGUGUGUGUGUGUGGCUACCAUGGGUGUUCACGGCUUAUGGCGACUUCUGGAUUCUUUCGGGGUGGUUGUGCAGCCAGAUGAGCUGAAGGGCAAGCGCGUGGCGAUCGACGCCAGCAUCUGGAUUGCACAGUUUCGCGCCCGCGUCGCGCCGGGCGAGGACACGGAACACAAGGUGCUCGAAGGCUUCCUGGCACGCAUACUGAAGCUCCUCUUCUACGGCAUUCAUCCCGUCUUUGUGUUUGAUGGCCCAGCGUCGUCGUCGAAGGGUGCGGAGCAUCACCGUCGCACGAUGCAGCAGGCCAGGAAUGCGCGGGCUCUCGUGAAGCGCAGGGCGCGCCAGAUACUACUGGCUCAGGUCGCUGCUGGCGCGUUGGAUGUAGAGGAUCUGAAGGUGGCCAUGCCGAGCGGUGCACGCGCGGAGAACAAUGCUGUGAGGGCUCAGAAAGACUCAGACGCGGCCGUGCCUUCGAUGGCUGCCAACGCUGCGGAAGGAACCGGUGUCUCCGAGACACUGCCCCGGGGUGGUGGCGCAGGCCAUGCGCUGGGUGCGACAAGCAGCACACGCAGCAGCGCCAUUCAUGGUGGAAAGCGGCCCAGAGAGGCCUCAGAGGAGGUGCUGCCGCUGCCAAGACCGCACCGCCGCCGGCUCUGCCGCAGACAACGCCGCCUCGCUCCUGAUGCCGUUUCCGCGACGAUUACGCAGAGUUUCCUGAGGGAUGUGGAGGGCCUUCUGGAGGAGCGCACGCGGCAUGAGGCCUGUGUCCUGCAGAACGCUCUGCAGAGCACCAGUACCUCACUCUUUAUGGGACCGCGCCGUACCGUCGACGAAAAUUCUGAGGCCGUGGUCGGUGUGAUUACCUCGGGGCACCUACAGCCGCUGCACCCACACUGCGCUGCCGCCGUGGUAUUAGUGUCUGGAGAUUCGCAAGAAGAAAGAGACGCGACGGGCUGUGUCGUCAUCAGUGACAGCGAGAGCGGCGCCGAGGCGGUCUCGAGUGCCAGCUGCACCGUCGCCUCAACGGACGGUGAAGGGUGUAGCGAUGUGGAAGAGGUUGUCCUGGUGGAAAAAGCGGGCGGCCCUGCUCGCGCAGACGCUCCUGAAGGAGCGCUUUGGCUGCCGUCGUCUGCCUCUUCGCCGUCAGUGGCGACAGCGGUGCUGCAUAGCGGAGACAUGACGCGGUUUCUGAAUGCGCGGUCUCAGUCAACGUGCACACCGCCGCCUGAGCUGAUGCCCUCCACUAUAGCUUCGGAGGGGACAUCAUCGGUAAUCACAUCAUCAUCCUCUGCUGCCCAAUCUGUGAGUGGAGAUGAGGGCAUUGCCACUGAUCCCGGUAGUAGCAGUACGAGCAACAGCAAGAGCGCCGCUUUUCCCAGCGACGGCAGCUCUGAGGAGGCGUACACCUUUACCGAUGGUGGCGAUGGUGAUGACAGUGACGAUGCCGAGUUCGCGUGGGAGCCGUUCACGCAGCGACUACAUCUCGCCCAGCUUCUGCGUCCGCAGGAGCAGGAGAGCGAGUCCCACGCACACUCAUCGUGCUCGACAGCUGCUCAGAUGGUCACUGCGUCCUUCGCUGGGUCACCGCGCACCGACGCCGCUACGGUGGGAAAAGAAGACGGAGAUGAAGACGACUACGCGCCGGUGAGGGCUGUGGAGGUGUUUUCACGGUGUCGCACAGCGCCGGUGCCGCUGCCUAUGGUUGGUUCAACCAGCAGCAAGGGUGAGGGUGAGAAGGACAACUGCACUAUUCCAGUGUCGGCGCCUCAACAUUCAAACGCUGUGAAGGGCGCCGUCUCGGAGGUGACAGGCUCACCUUACUGCAGAAGCGCCGAAGUGCACAGCUUGUCCACCGACCGCAAAAGCUCGCUGGGUGGCUUACCCCCUCGUGGGGGAGGCGCCGCGCGGACCAACCGAGUCGUCAUCCCCUUUGAACUACUCAACGUGGUUGAGCUGCUGGACUGCUGCGGGGUGCCGUAUGUGCUGAGCCCGGCAGAGGCAGACGCCCAGUGUGCGUUCCUGGCUCGGUGCGGCCUCGUGGAUGCCGUUUUCACGGAGGAUAGCGACGUGCUGGUGCAUGGCGCGACGACAGUGCUGCGCGGCUUUUUCGCGCAGUCGAAAAAUGUCGUCGCCUACGAGCAGACACAUCUGUCGGCGUGUGGCAUCACGAAGACCGUGCUUGUGGCACUUGCCUCUCUUCUCGGGUGUGACUACACGGAGGGGGUCUGUGGCAUCGGUCUCGUGGGUGCGCUGGAGGCCUUAGUCGUGGCCUGGACAACAGCGGAAAGUGCGGAGGCGGGCGCCGCGUCCUCCUCAGCGGUCUUACACCUGUUGCGGCGUUGGGCCCUGCUUGUUCAGCGGCCUCCGCGUUCGUGGCAAGAGGUGGAUGACCACAUGACCAUCCUGCAGUUCGCGCUUCUCCGGGCCCACGUGGCGCAGUGGCGCACGCUGGAGCAACGUGCGUGCUUUCCAGAAGCGCAUGCCGUAGAGGCCUUCUUCGAUGCCAAAGUCGAUUUGGACACAACCCCGUUUCAGUGGCUCCCACCAGACUGGCAGCGGAUUCGCGUAUUCGCCGGGGCGCUUGGAGCACUGAGCUCGCCUUGGCUCGUGCAGAGAUACGAGCUCGCGCGCAAGGAGUGCCUGCGGCGCGAAGAGACGGCGGCGAAGGAUCGUGCAUCACUGACUGCUGGCCAGCGGCGGCUGACAGAGUAUGGCGUGCGGGAUCGAGUGCGCGCCAGGUGGGCAUUUCAGAGGCAACCUCCCAAGCACGCCGCGGCCCUUGCCAAGCUGCGCGCUGUGCAGCAGAUGCAGUGAAGCGCAAUGCAAACGACGGCGAGUUACAGCCAAGAAAGCGCUGUGCUCUGGCGGACUCCUCCAUGCAUUGUGCCUACACAGCUGCUGUUUUUUUUUCUGUUCUUUGCCUCGUCCCCCGUUCUGGACGCCGCAGUGGGUUAUGUCUGUGGAGAGGGGAGGGCACUCGCUGCACAUGGGCUAGUGCGCGAUCCGCCGUAUGCGCAGCUGCCCAACUUCCUUCGCGCCCCGAAGCUUUUUCGUUUUUCUUCACUUCGGUUACGCCACCACCUUUCUUUUGCUGCGUCUUCUUUUGUUGUGCGCACACCUCCACCGCUGGCCCGCGUGUGACUGCUUACUCGCAUCCUAUUGCUCUUCUUUUCGUUCGGCAGCGUGUAGCGGCGCGGCGUAUCUGUGUGGCCCCUACCCCCUUUCCCCGACGCCCGAUGUCCAAUGCUGUGCGCAUGAGCGUGUAUUGAUGCGUGCACUCGGACGUGCGCUCUCUCUAUGCGAGUUGGCUAAAAGGUGCUGCGGCUGUGCACAUGGCGCCGUUGCCUCCCUCCCUGCACCCGCCUGUCUUGUAUCCGUCUCUGCACGUUCGCAGCUGCGAAUGCCAUGCAAGUAUAGCGAAUGGCGCCGAAAAGAAGGCAGAGAGAAGGCGCUUGGCUGGGCUAAGAAGCGG
Molecule: unclassified non-coding RNA, 3647 nt
Filed under: Leishmania donovani
Lineage: Eukaryota; Euglenozoa; Kinetoplastea; Trypanosomatida; Trypanosomatidae
Description: gene:LdHU3.35.4780(CDS-product:DNA_repair_protein _RAD2_putative)
Source: RNAcentral